GGGCGAAGAUAAGACGGAUUAGCGGCGGACGGGUGAGUAACACGUGAGUAACCUGCCUUUACACAGGGAUAGCCUCGGGAAACCGGGAUUAAAACCUGAUGAAACUAUCAAAAUCACAUGAUUAAGAAAGUUAAAACUCCGGUGGUAAAAGAUGGACUCGCGUCCCAUUAGCUAGUUGGUGAAGGUAACGGCCCACCAAGGCAACGAUGGGUAGCCGGCCUGAGAGGGUGAACGGCCACAUUGGAACUGAGAAACGGUCCAAACUCCUACGGGAGGCAGCAGCC
RNAcentral lists this ribosomal RNA (284 nucleotides) under uncultured Peptoniphilus sp. RNAcentral describes it as "partial 16S ribosomal RNA". It matches the Rfam family "Bacterial small subunit ribosomal RNA", at positions 64 to 355 of the family's 1533-position model. The record is from RNAcentral. Lineage: Bacteria; Bacillati; Bacillota; Tissierellia; Tissierellales; Peptoniphilaceae.